This is a non-coding RNA of Cinara cedri, 250 nucleotides long. The record is from the annotation of a GenBank genome assembly. NCBI's taxonomy places the organism in Eukaryota, Metazoa, Arthropoda, Insecta, Hemiptera, Aphididae.
UUACAACAUGUAUUUAUAUUACUUAUAAGCGUUUUAACUCGAAAAGUUAGUAAGGCAAUAUAAUACGUACUCAUUCGAGGUAUAUCCAGUUAGUAUUUAUUCCAUUGUGUUCCACAAUAACUAGUAAGUUCAUACAAUACUAAAUUUCGAAUGGUUCUAGUCGUUAAUAUACUUAUAUUAGUUAAAUAUCUUUUAUGGGUAUACAUUUUCCUAUUAAAAUAUUAUGUUAAAUUAUGUUACGUUCGUAAUG